RNAcentral lists this long non-coding RNA (711 nucleotides) under Capsicum annuum. RNAcentral's name for it is "long non-coding RNA (CANN_LNC010811)". The record is from RNAcentral. Lineage: Eukaryota; Viridiplantae; Streptophyta; Magnoliopsida; Solanales; Solanaceae.
UUAAUCACCACAUCAGACCAAAAUAUCGUAGUAACGAAAACCUACAACUGAUUUCAACGUAACCCAAAUUCAAACGACCGAUUCGCCUAGGUCAGAAAGAACAACGAUGAAAUCUAGUCCAAAAUAAUGAUUGACCAAGAACAGAAUGCAAGACCAAAACCCGCGCCCGAUACGAUUUCAAACAGAAAUCGAACACAACCACGAUUUCGGUGGACGUUGCCGGAAUCCGGUCGCACUACCCUCUCUCUGUUUUGAUCUCUCUCUCCCACUCAAAUCUCUCUUUCUUCGAUCUCACUGUUUCUUCGAUCUCACUGUUUCUCUGAUCUCACUGUUUAUUCGAUCUCACUAUUUCCUCUCCGACAACGCAGACAACGACGGAGGAAACCGAAUCUGAACAGCGGAUGGAGGAGAACGGAGGGAGGCUCGGAGGCGUCUAGAGGCGGUGAGUUCGCAAUGGUAGCGACGCUGGUUCGCUGGUUGGAUUCUCGUCGAUGAUGGCGACGGCGGCGUGGUGGCUUACGUCGUCAGUGGCUGCUGACGGCGUAGCGGUCGAGGGAGAGGGGAAGAGAAGGAUAGCCGGUGCUGAGAUGGACGGCGUCAGCCAUGGAUGCCGAUGGGGGUCGUUUGGUUGGUCGCCGGUGAAGUUUGUUGAGAGAGAGAGUGAGAGUCUAGAGAGAAUGAGAGAGAGUUCGGCCCUUUUUUUUGUGCUCA